GUACCGGAAGGUGCGGCUGGAUCACCUCCUUUCUACGGAGAAUACAGGAUGCCGUUCGGCGUCCGGUGCGGACCCUCCCGCGCGAUGGUCGCGUGUGGACGGGUUGCUGGUGUGGAAGAUGUCGUUGGCUUUGCCCCGCCGGUCGUGCGGUGGGUGCCGGGGUGGUGCGGAUGCGCUUUUGGGCUCCCGGAUCGCCACCCCAGGCUUUUGCCUGGCGCGAUUCGAUGCCCGUCGUGCCUGCGGGCCGGCCGUGUGCCGGCGUGAUGGCGUGGCGGUGCGUGGUGGCUUGAGAACUGGAUAGUGGACGCGAGCGAAACAAUGGUUUUGAAUCUUUGUUUUGCUGUUGAUUUCGAAUCGAACUCUAUUGUUCGUUUCGAUCGUUUUGUGAUCAUUUUUAGUGUGAUGAUUUGUCGUCUGGGAAUUUGCUAAAGGAAUCUUGCGGCCAUGCACCUGUAUGGUGUGUGUUGCUUGCAAGGGCGUAUGGUG
This 486-nucleotide unclassified non-coding RNA is filed under the name Bifidobacterium sp. RNAcentral describes it as "partial may contain 16S ribosomal RNA, 16S-23S ribosomal RNA intergenic spacer, and 23S ribosomal RNA". Lineage: Bacteria; Bacillati; Actinomycetota; Actinomycetes; Bifidobacteriales; Bifidobacteriaceae. The record is from RNAcentral.